Non-coding RNA from Echria macrotheca, 91 nucleotides. The record is from the annotation of a GenBank genome assembly. NCBI's taxonomy places the organism in Eukaryota, Fungi, Ascomycota, Sordariomycetes, Sordariales, Schizotheciaceae.
GGGCAUGUAGCGCAGUGGUAGUCGCGCUCGCUUUGCAUUGAUACAAACACGGCGUUGCGAGAGGCCUUGGGUUCAAUCCCCAACUUGUCCA